AUUGAACGCUGGCGGCAGGCCUAACACAUGCAAGUCGAGCGGAUGAAGGGAGCUUGCUCCUGGAUUCAGCGGCGGACGGGUGAGUAAUGCCUAGGAAUCUGCCUGGUAGUGGGGGAUAACGUCCGGAAACGGGCGCUAAUACCGCAUACGUCCUGUGGGAGAAAGUGGGGGAUCUUCGGACCUCACGCUAUCAGAUGAGCCUAGGUCGGAUUAGCUAGGUGGUGGGGUAAAGGCCUACAAAGGCGACGAUCCGUAACUGGUCUGAGAGGAUGAUCAGUCACACUGGAACUGAGACACGGUCCAGACUCCUACGGGAGGCAGCAGUGGGGAAUAUUGGACGAUGGGCGAAAGCCUGAUCCAGCCAUGCCGCGUGUGUGAAGAAGGUCUUCGGAUUGUAAAGCACUUUAAGUUGGGAGGAAGGGCAGUAAGUUAAUACCUUGCUGUUUUGACGUUACCAACAGAAUAAGCACCGGCUAACUUCGUG
Molecule: ribosomal RNA, 484 nt
Filed under: uncultured bacterium
Lineage: Bacteria
Description: partial 16S ribosomal RNA
Rfam family: Bacterial small subunit ribosomal RNA
Source: RNAcentral